GCGGGUGUAGCUCAGUGGUAGAGCAUAAGCUUCCCAAGCUUGUGACGAGGGUUCGAUUCCCUUCACCCGCUCCA
RNAcentral lists this transfer RNA (74 nucleotides) under Holosporaceae bacterium. RNAcentral's name for it is "tRNA-Gly". It matches the Rfam family "tRNA". From Rfam's summary of the family: Transfer RNA (tRNA) molecules are approximately 80 nucleotides in length. Their secondary structure includes four short double-helical elements and three loops (D, anti-codon, and T loops). Further hydrogen bonds mediate the characteristic L-shaped molecular structure. tRNAs have two regions of fundamental functional importance: the anti-codon, which is responsible for specific mRNA codon recognition, and the 3' end, to which the tRNAs corresponding amino acid is attached (by aminoacyl-tRNA synthetases). tRNAs cope with the degeneracy of the genetic code in two manners: having more than one tRNA (with a specific anti-codon) for a particular amino acid; and 'wobble' base-pairing, i.e. permitting non-standard base-pairing at the 3rd anti-codon position. Lineage: Bacteria; Pseudomonadati; Pseudomonadota; Alphaproteobacteria; Holosporales; Holosporaceae. The record is from RNAcentral.